GACAGCUGAAGAUGAAGCGUGGGAUAGCCGGCCAAUACUCGGAAUAAUUCCCCAAUUACACGUGAUCUUUCUUUAUUUUGAUCCCCAAUGUGCUCAAGAAGCUGUGGCAUGUAGGCUUGUGUAGCUCCGGUGCAAGUAUGCUUGACCAGGUUCAAUUACGCUCCUAACAUCAUCAGGCUUGGAGCCAUGCCUUAUCCCAAACUAUACAAAAUGCGUAUUCAAAC
This 224-nucleotide long non-coding RNA is filed under the name Phoenix dactylifera (date palm). RNAcentral's name for it is "long non-coding RNA (PDAC_LNC007135)". The record is from RNAcentral. Lineage: Eukaryota; Viridiplantae; Streptophyta; Magnoliopsida; Arecales; Arecaceae.